RNA transcript from Selaginella moellendorffii, 1963 nucleotides. It is a transcript of the gene named aladin, with no coding region annotated. NCBI's taxonomy places the organism in Eukaryota, Viridiplantae, Streptophyta, Lycopodiopsida, Selaginellales, Selaginellaceae. The transcript is spliced from 3 exons. The record is from RefSeq and is a predicted model, not a curated record.
CUACACCGAUGCUAGGGUUCUAACGUUCAUGUGUUGGGCUCUCGACGAACAAUGCCGAGCGUCCCGUCCAUUGCUGAGGAGACCGUCUGCGAGAUCAAUCGCGAUUUCCUCACUCGCGCCCAGCAGCAGCAGCCGCAGCAGCAGGGCGGCGAUGUUUCAUCCAAGGCGCAUGAGCAGUACAACAAGGUCCUCAACAGAGUCUUCCCCAAGCUGCUGUUCAAGGUUGGAACGAUCCCGAUCGCCGACGACAAUGGCAGCAAUGGGAUUGCUGCGCAGAUGGAUAUUUCGGCGCCAGGAGGAUCUCUCGAGGGGGAGGAAGAGGAUCUGGUUAGGGCGACUGCAGCAGCGGUGGAAGAAACCCUAGACGAGGCCCUCGGCGAGCCUCUGUCGGCGCUCCAGCGCCUCGGAUCUCUCUUCUACAGGGGCGAGAAGCGCGAUUCCAGCAGCGCCAGGCCGAAAUUUCUCCAGUCCAUGGCCUGGCACAAGCACAAGCUCCUCCUCGCAUUCGUCGCCAAUCCAGCGCACGUCCUAGUGGUGGAUUACGACGACGCCGACGCCAAGAAUCCCUUUCUUCUUGGCCAUGAAACCCAGCAGCGCGGCGUGGAAGCGAUCGAGUGGAGACCAAACUCGGGCUCGAUUCUGGCCGUUGGAUGCCGCGGUGGAGUUUGCCUGUGGACGGCAUCCGGUGCCACGCCACCUUUGAGGACCGGGGCUGUGGUGCCUCUCGUCUCAGCGGCUACGAAAUGGAGCCUGGUGGAUUUUUUGCGCUGGGGGAUCGAUAUGCCCGUCUCGGCUCUCUCGUGGAGCCCCUGUGGAAGGCUCUUGGCGUGUGGAUCGAGCGAGACGCCGACUUUCGCAGUGUGGGACGUCUCUCUCGGGGAGAGCACACCGCUGCGACGGGGAAUGGCCGGCGUCCAGUUCAUGAAGUGGUCGCCGCUCGGGGACUACUUGCUCACGGCCAAAGUUGACGCGUCGUUUCAUCUCUGGGAGACCAUGACUUGGACGUCCGAGCCGUGGGCCUCGGCUGGUGGAGCUCUCGUGGGCGCGGCGUGGAGUCCCGAUGGCCGGAUGAUCAUGGGUGCUUUUGAUCAGAGCAGCACGCUCGGGACUUUACACUUUGCUGGGAAGCCUCCGUCGCUGGAGGUGCAUUUGCUGCCUUUGGGACUCUCGGAGAUAGAAGCGAUUUGUGGACCCGGAGGAAGCAUUGAGAGGAUGGCUUGGGAUGGAACAGGGGAAAGGUUGGCGGUGUCGUAUACAGGUGGUGAUGCUGUAUACUCUGGUUUGAUCGCCAUCUACGACACGAGGAGAACACCGAUCAUAUCAGCCUCGUUGCUGGGAUUUGUGAGAGGUCCAGGUGCUGGUGCGAAGCCUCUGGCUUUCGCGUUUCAUGAUAAGCUCCGGCAGGGAGCUUUACUGGGCGUUUGCUGGAGCACGGGCUUCAUCUGCGUCUAUCCUAUGCUCUUCAGGACGGGCAUGUAGAGUCGUAUAUCAUCGAGCGAAGAUAUGAAGGGAGUCCUCGUCAUUCUCGUCUCCGGUUUGCCGUGCCUGGUGCUUGUCCAACUGUUCCUGCAGAUUAGCAAUCGUGUCUACCAGCUUUGCAUACUCCUCAUGACUAUCUCCGUUCGCAGCAGGGUCACGGCUCCCUGAAGAUCUUCCAGCUGCUGCUGUAAGGCCAUUUGUUCCCGUUGAGAUUGCUGAUUCUGUUUGUUUGCUUCUGCAGCCUCGGCUCGAGCCCUUCGCAGUAGCUCGUUCUUCUCUGUCAACCUUAGCCUGGCAUCCUCGACUUGCUUCUUUAUGUCCUGGAAGUUGUCCUCUACCGCGUGUAGCUUGGACGUUACUGCCUCGCAUUCUUGUUGAAGCUUGGUCAGGCCUUCCUGGUGCUCCAUCACCAUGGAACCGUAGCUCUCGAUGUCGUCCUCUAAGUCUUUUUUUACUCUUUCAAUCUUUUCUAGUGCUUCUUUCA